AGGCUCUUAGUGCCAGCUUCCUGUCCCCUAGGCUGACGGAUCCUGAGCACAAGAUCUUAACUCUCAAGGUGGGGCCCUUUAACUGCUUUCCUGUGGGCCUACGCCCCUUCAACCUGGCUGGUUUGGAGUCUCUGGAAACCUUCUUUUCCCGGAUUCUUGGAUUCCAGGGAGAGAAGCUGAUGUCUUUUCUAUGAUGGGUCAGGUGGAUACGCAAGCAGAGCAGGGUGAGGCUGCGUAGUGGACAAGCUUUGUGAGAGGAGGAUGCGUUCCAGCCACAGAGAGAACAGUUAGCUGACAGCUGGAAUGGAACCCUGUGCUGUACCGAGGAAACCCCGUGCCUGCGUGGUUCCUUGAGCCACACAACCAGAAGGGUGGAGAGAUGCACCACUCGGGAGCUUAAAGAGCAUGACCCCUCUAUAAGGGUGGGCCUCUCUGCCUCAGGGGCAGAACAAAUGCCAGCCCCACAAUCUUUGUGUGGGUCAGAGAGGCCAGCAGGGGGGAUAGGAGGGAGUUGCUCAGUGCCUCCAGCCCCAGCAAAUACGCUCUGUCCCGGAAGACCCUGGAUCCUGGAAACUUCUCAGAGAUUACUGACCCAGGGCCACAGGACAUGGGCUCUAGGAUUUGAAAACGACAGGAACUUUUCCAAGCAGGGCCCAGAGCAGCUGAGACUUCCGAGGAAAGUUCCAGAACAGGACAGCGGGGUUGCGACGGGACUUAGAAGGAAAGCAGCCCUGUGAGCUGACAGGCAGUGGCUCUUGCAGAUCAGGAGCUGCUGCUUCUCCAUGUGGAUCGAGGCCACCCGAACCGUCAUCUCUUCCUAGGAUUAGGAUCUGCUUGCUUCCCAUGUAGCACCUUGUCCUAGGGCCAUGAGAGCGAAGCCUCUUACCUACCGGAGGCUCAGGCUUCCCAGAAGUCCUGCGUGGGUCUGUAAGGAUGGCGGGUAAAAUCACAGCCCCCUGGUACCAGCCUGGCUCUGGCUAACAGCUCCUCAGUGGCCCUGUUCUCACAAUGGGACCUUGCUCCUCCGCCUGGACCACCAGGCUACAAUGUGUGUAAUGCUUUCCUGCAAUACUCUAAGCAACGGGUGCAGGCUGCAUCCACCAAAGGGUCGUUGGAUGAUGCUUCCAAUAGGGAUCACAUGGUGGCCAUCAUAUAUAAAUAGGGAUGAGGUGGGAAGAGGAGGGCUCAGGCAAGUGUAGUUAUCUUUUUCUCCUUUUGUGCUGUGUGUGUGUGUGCACGCACACGCAUGUGUGUGAUAUCUAUUCAAGUAUACAUGUGUGCUGGUCUGAGUUCACUUGUGUGCGUAUACAUUUGAAGGUCAAAGGACAACCUCAGCCAUUGCAACCCAGGUGCUGUCCACCCACUUUUGUGACACAGGGUCUCCUACUUGCCUGAAUCUCACCAAAUAGGCUAGCCAGGUUGGCCAGCGAGUCCCAGGAACUAGUCUAUCCCUGUAUCCCCAGAGUUGGGAUUGCACGCGAAUGACACUAUGCCCAACCUUUUCCCCAUGGACUCUG
RNAcentral lists this long non-coding RNA (1517 nucleotides) under Mus musculus (house mouse). Its description in RNAcentral is "predicted gene, 49999". The record is from RNAcentral. Lineage: Eukaryota; Metazoa; Chordata; Mammalia; Rodentia; Muridae.